CGUUUCUUGAAUUUAUAUGAAAUAGGAUCUGCCCACUGAAAUAUUGAAGGGCCGCAGUAAUUUGACUGUGCAAAGGUAGCAUAAUCAUUAGUUUUUUAAUUGGAAGCUUGUAUGAAUGAUUUGACGAGAUAUAAUCUGUCUUUAUUUUAAUAAGUUGAAUUUAAUUUUUUAAUCAAAAAGUUUAAAUGUUUAUAUGGGACGAGAAGACCCUAUAGAAUUUUAUUAUUAAUUUUAUAUUAAUUAUUAGUAAUUUUUUUUUGUUUUUAUAAUUUGUUUGGGGUAAUUGUAGGAUAUGUCUAAUUCCUUUAAUUUUUCUUAAAAAUUUUUAUUUUUUUGAUCCAUGUGUUUGAUAUUAAGAUUAAAUUACC
Molecule: ribosomal RNA, 368 nt
Filed under: Latindiinae sp. MNHN BL128
Lineage: Eukaryota; Metazoa; Arthropoda; Insecta; Blattodea; Corydiidae
Description: partial 16S ribosomal RNA
Source: RNAcentral